ACGGUUGUCCCGGUUUAAGCGUGUAGGUGUGUGUUCCAGGUAAAUCCGGUUCACUUUAACACUGAGGCGUGACGACGAGGCACUACGGUGCUGAAGCAACAAAUGCCCUGCUUCCAGGAAAAGCCUCUAAGCAUCAGGUAACAUCAAAUCGUACCCCAAACCGACACAGGUGGUCAGGUAGAGAAUACCAAGGCGCUUGAGAGAACUCGGGUGAAGGAACUAGGCAAAAUGGUGCCGUAACUUCGGGAGAAGGCACGCUGACACGUAGGUGAAGUGAUUUACUCAUGGAGCUGAAGUCAGUCGAAGAUACCAGCUGGCUGCAACUGUUUAUUAAAAACACAGCACUGUGCAAACACGAAAGUGGACGUAUACGGUGUGACGCCUGCCCGGUGCCGGAAGGUUAAUUGAUGGGGUCAGCGCAAGCGAAGCUCCUGAUCGAAGCCCCGGUAAACGGCGGCCGUAACUAUAACGGUCCUAAGGUAGCGAAAUUCCUUGUCGGGUAAGUUCCGACCUGCACGAAUGGCGUAAUGAUGGCCAGGCUGUCUCCACCCGAGACUCAGUGAAAUUGAACUCGCUGUGAAGAUGCAGUGUACCCGCGGCAAGACGGAAAGACCCCGUGAACCUUUACUAUAGCUUGACACUGAACAUUGAGCCUUGAUGUGUAGGAUAGGUGGGAGGCUUUGAAGUGUGGACGCCAGUCUGCAUGGAGCCGACCUUGAAAUACCACCCUUUAAUGUUUGAUGUUCUAACGUGGACCCGUAAUCCGGGUUGCGGACAGUGUCUGGUGGGUAGUUUGACUGGGGCGGUCUCCUCCUAAAGAGUAACGGAGGAGCACGAAGGUUGGCUAAUCCUGGUCGGACAUCAGGAGGUUAGUGCAAUGGCAUAAGCCAGCUUGACUGCGAGCGUGACGGCGCGAGCAGGUGCGAAAGCAGGUCAUAGUGAUCCGGUGGUUCUGAAUGGAAGGGCCAUCGCUCAACGGAUAAAAGGUACUCCGGGGAUAACAGGCUGAUACCGCCCAAGAGUUCAUAUCGACGGCGGUGUUUGGCACCUCGAUGUCGGCUCAUCACAUCCUGGGGCUGAAGUAGGUCCCAAGGGUAUGGCUGUUCGCCAUUUAAAGUGGUACGCGAGCUGGGUUUAGAACGUCGUGAGACAGUUCGGUCCCUAUCUGCCGUGGGCGCUGGAGAACUGAGGGGGGCUGCUCCUAGUACGAGAGGACCGGAGUGGACGCAUCACUGGUGUUCGGGUUGUCAUGCCAAUGGCACUGCCCGGUAGCUAAAUGCGGAAGAGAUAAGUGCUGAAAGCAUCUAAGCACGAAACUUGCCCCGA
This 1326-nucleotide ribosomal RNA is filed under the name Salmonella enterica. Its description in RNAcentral is "partial 23S ribosomal RNA". It matches the Rfam family "Bacterial large subunit ribosomal RNA", at positions 1498 to 2802 of the family's 2925-position model. Lineage: Bacteria; Pseudomonadati; Pseudomonadota; Gammaproteobacteria; Enterobacterales; Enterobacteriaceae. RNAcentral also lists the same sequence under 1 other name. The record is from RNAcentral.